UUCGGACCGGUCACUAUUGGAGGACGCCUGCGUGGAUUAGCUUGUUGGUGGGGUAAAGGCCUACCAAGGCUACGAUCCAUAGCUGGUCUGAGAGGACGAUCAGCCACACUGGAACUGAGACACGGUCCAGACUCCUACGGGAGGCAGCAGUAGGGAAUAUUGUGCAAUGGGCGAAAGCCUGACACAGCCAUGCCGCGUGUGUGAGGAAGGCCCUAGGGUUGUAAAGCACUUUCAGUAGGGAGGAAUUAGUAGGGUUAAUAACCUUAUGAAAUGACGUUACCUACAGAAGAAGUACCGGCUAACUCCGUG
This 309-nucleotide ribosomal RNA is filed under the name uncultured bacterium. RNAcentral's name for it is "bacterial SSU rRNA". It matches the Rfam family "Bacterial small subunit ribosomal RNA", at positions 202 to 507 of the family's 1533-position model. The record is from RNAcentral.